CUGGAACGCACGGACCUCCGCCGCUGCCCAGGGAUAAUACUCUCGCUUUCUCCGUCUGUGCCGCUGCAGAACGGACCGUAAAGCUGCAUGCUGCCUCUUCAUCCCCGCUGAAACCCAGACUCCGAUCAAGAUCUACUUCUGAGACUUCUUGCUUUCGGCCUGUGGAGAAAGAACCAAUAGCCUGGACAACAUCUGCUUCCCUGUGUGAGUGGACACUGGGACUCCAAAUCCAAUUUGACCACAACACGCACACUUUAGAGCACAAAGAAGACUACAGUUUAAACAGCUUUCUGGAAAAGUAAAGACGAAGAUUUAGCUUUUAAAGUCCUGGCUUGAUACAUCUACAGAACGUCAAAGUCAUAUAUAGAAAUUCAACACCAUCCUGAUCCAGGAGGCUCAGCUGAAGCUCUCUCCAGACGGUCCUCGUACUGACAGAACUGCCCUCCCUGCUGCUCUCUGAAGUUCAGUUAAUCAACUAAGGUAGAGGUACUCAUUAACUGCUCAGCUGGUGGUCAGGCCAGGAGUUCACCCAGAGAAUCGUGUACACACAGGCUUUCAUCGCUGACGACUUGCAGAGGAUCUUAGGACAUCAAAUUUAAGGUAAUUAUUCCCAUUGUCCUGUGUUCUGUGCAAUGCAGUGUGUGCCAUCUUUAUGGAUCAAAGAGGCUUGAUUCAGGACGGCAAAUUAUCCUCCAUUAUGUGACAUGUAUAGGCUGUAUAGGAGUAAAUAAGAGUUCCAGACAGAAGUUUAUGGAGGAUACAUUGAGCAUCCUGCAGUAUAGGAGCAUAACAAGUCAGCUCCCGGUUAGCCAGAGAGUCCAUCUAUGUCAGUGUGUCCUUGACUAAACCACACAAGGGCCCUGCGGCUGUUUUGUGCUAUAACUAAAAUAUUUCCUUUCCUCAUUAAGUGAACAUGUAUUAUAUGGCAUUCCUUUUUGACUACCUGUAUAUAUAACACGGGUUUGUGUGUGAUUAUUUGAACCACAUGCAAGGUGACAUGUUUGAACAAAGUUUUAUUUUCAAUGCUGCAAGGCCAUGAGCUAAAUAUCUUUCAAAUCCAUACCGUUGUCACGGGUCAGUUGGACUGUUUCUGAUCUCACAGAAGUGUAAUCAAUCAACAAUACAUCUGUUGGAAAAUUGACUCCGAGCCAAAAUAGCUAAACGAACUGCCAUGAAAUGUGGAACACAUAUGCAUGUAUGUGUCAAUGACUAAACUGUUACCCUGACAACCGCAUUCAGAAAAAAAAAACCUCCUUAUUAACGUGAGCAACAACAGACUUGGAAGCUGAACAUAAAAUGUUAUUAAAAAAAAAAAACAGUAAAAAAAAAAAAAAAAGGAAUUAAGGACAAAGGGCAUGUUGGUCUCAGUGUUUGACUGACAAGUGAUCUUUAAAGAGUAAGGUGCAGUGUUGCAAAAUGCAAGAAACGAGAACCUCACAGAUUACCACUUUAAAUGUCAAAAGCAAAAAUGCAAAUGAGGCAUAAUAACUGCCUGCCCUGCCAAUUAUACCUAGAUUGGCUGCAGUUUGGAUGGAGUCUCCCUCUACAUUAAUCUCUAUAGGUUUUAACAUUUCACUUGAAGCUGUGAUGGCGUUUGUCACCUGAGUCGACACAGCCGUCAGCUUUGUCACAAUCCGUGCCGUGACAGAUGUGUGGUUUGGCCCACAGUGUGUCAAUCCCAGUGGGCAGCAGAGCACCACUAUUUUGUAGCUAUUGAGCCACAAUUGCAGUAUUAAUUAUUGUGUUUUUGAAGAACAAUGUAAUAUGACAAGAUUGGGUAGGAAAAACGGGCAAGAAAGAAGUCGUACUACUUUAAGCCAGCAAUGGUUUAUUGGAUGUCAUCCACUGAGAAAAGUGUAGAUUUGACGACGGGUUGGUCGUGGAAUAAGGAUCAGGGUUGAGCAGUGGCAUGA
This is a long non-coding RNA of Labrus mixtus (cuckoo wrasse), 1913 nucleotides long. RefSeq lists it as uncharacterized. The record is from RefSeq and is a predicted model, not a curated record. The transcript is spliced from 4 exons. NCBI's taxonomy places the organism in Eukaryota, Metazoa, Chordata, Actinopteri, Labriformes, Labridae.